UACGUAGGGACCAAGCGUUGUCCGGAAUCAUUGGGCGUAAAGAGCGUGUAGGCGGCUUGUUAAGUCUUGCGUGAAAUCUCGGGGCUCAACCCCGAGCGGUCGUGAGAAACUGGCAGGCUAGAGUGCGGGAGAGGAGAGUGGAAUUCCUGGUGUAGCGGUGAAAUGCGCAGAUAUCAGGAAGAACACCCGUGGCGAAGGCGGCUCUCUGGAACGCAACUGACGCUGAGACGCGAAAGCAUGGGGAGCGAACAGG
This 253-nucleotide ribosomal RNA is filed under the name uncultured bacterium. RNAcentral's name for it is "partial 16S ribosomal RNA". It matches the Rfam family "Bacterial small subunit ribosomal RNA", at positions 524 to 776 of the family's 1533-position model. The record is from RNAcentral.